CUGCCUGUAAGACUGGGAUAACUCCGGGAAACCGGGGCUAAUACCGGAUGGUUGUUUGAACCGCAUGGUUCAAACAUAAAAGGUGGCUUCGGCUACCACUUACAGAUGGACCCGCGGCGCAUUAGCUAGUUGGUGAGGUAACGGCUCACCAAGGCAACGAUGCGUAGCCGACCUGAGAGGGUGAUCGGCCACACUGGGACUGAGACACGGCCCAGACUCCUACGGGAGGCAGCAGUAGGGAAUCUUCCGCAAUGGACGAAAGUCUGACGGAGCAACSCCGCGUGAGUGAUGAAGGUUUUCGGAUCGUAAAGCUCUGUUGUUAGGGAAGAACAAGUACCGUUCGAAUAGGGCGGUACCUUGACGGUACCUAACCAGAAAGCCACGGCUAACUACGUGCCA
RNAcentral lists this ribosomal RNA (399 nucleotides) under Bacillus sp. T3(2014b). RNAcentral describes it as "bacterial SSU rRNA". It matches the Rfam family "Bacterial small subunit ribosomal RNA", at positions 126 to 510 of the family's 1533-position model. Lineage: Bacteria; Bacillati; Bacillota; Bacilli; Caryophanales; Bacillaceae. The record is from RNAcentral.